Molecule: ribosomal RNA, 429 nt
Filed under: Chloroflexota bacterium
Lineage: Bacteria; Bacillati; Chloroflexota
Description: Chloroflexi bacterium partial 16S ribosomal RNA
Rfam family: Bacterial small subunit ribosomal RNA
Source: RNAcentral
UGGGGAAUAUUGCACAAUGGGCGCAAGCCUGAUGCAGCCAUGCCGCGUGUGUGAAGAAGGCCUUCGGGUUGUAAAGCACUUUCAGCGGGGAGGAAGGCGAUAAGGUUAAUAACCUUGUCGAUUGACGUUACCCGCAGAAGAAGCACCGGCUAACUCCGUGCCAGCAGCCGCGGUAAUACGGAGGGUGCAAGCGUUAAUCGGAAUUACUGGGCGUAAAGCGCACGCAGGCGGUCUGUCAAGUCGGAUGUGAAAUCCCCGGGCUCAACCUGGGAACUGCAUUCGAAACUGGCAGGCUAGAGUCGUGUAGAGGGGGGUAGAAUUCCAGGUGUAGAGGUGAAAUGCGUAGAGAUCUGGAGGAAUACCGGUGGCGAAGGCGGCCCCCUGGACAAAGACUGACGCUCAGGUGCGAAAGCGUGGGGAGCAAACAGG